RNAcentral lists this ribosomal RNA (1616 nucleotides) under Mycobacterium tuberculosis. RNAcentral describes it as "bacterial LSU rRNA". It matches the Rfam family "Bacterial large subunit ribosomal RNA", at positions 1421 to 2925 of the family's 2925-position model. The record is from RNAcentral. Lineage: Bacteria; Bacillati; Actinomycetota; Actinomycetes; Mycobacteriales; Mycobacteriaceae.
GAUAUUCCCGUACCCGUGUGUGGGCGCCCGUGACGAAUCAGCGGUACUAACCACCCAAAACCGGAUCGAUCACUCCCCUUCGGGGGUGUGGAGUUCUGGGGCUGCGUGGGAACUUCGCUGGUAGUAGUCAAGCGAAGGGGUGACGCAGGAAGGUAGCCGUACCAGUCAGUGGUAACACUGGGGCAAGCCGGUAGGGAGAGCGAUAGGCAAAUCCGUCGCUCACUAAUCCUGAGAGGUGACGCAUAGCCGGUUGAGGCGAAUUCGGUGAUCCUCUGCUGCCAAGAAAAGCCUCUAGCGAGCACACACACGGCCCGUACCCCAAACCGACACAGGUGGUCAGGUAGAGCAUACCAAGGCGUACGAGAUAACUAUGGUUAAGGAACUCGGCAAAAUGCCCCCGUAACUUCGGGAGAAGGGGGACCGGAAUAUCGUGAACACCCUUGCGGUGGGAGCGGGAUCCGGUCGCAGAAACCAGUGAGGAGCGACUGUUUACUAAAAACACAGGUCCGUGCGAAGUCGCAAGACGAUGUAUACGGACUGACGCCUGCCCGGUGCUGGAAGGUUAAGAGGACCCGUUAACCCGCAAGGGUGAAGCGGAGAAUUUAAGCCCCAGUAAACGGCGGUGGUAACUAUAACCAUCCUAAGGUAGCGAAAUUCCUUGUCGGGUAAGUUCCGACCUGCACGAAUGGCGUAACGACUUCUCAACUGUCUCAACCAUAGACUCGGCGAAAUUGCACUACGAGUAAAGAUGCUCGUUACGCGCGGCAGGACGAAAAGACCCCGGGACCUUCACUACAACUUGGUAUUGAUGUUCGGUACGGUUUGUGUAGGAUAGGUGGGAGACUGUGAAACCUCGACGCCAGUUGGGGCGGAGUCGUUGUUGAAAUACCACUCUGAUCGUAUUGGGCAUCUAACCUCGAACCCUGAAUCGGGUUUAGGGACAGUGCCUGGCGGGUAGUUUAACUGGGGCGGUUGCCUCCUAAAAUGUAACGGAGGCGCCCAAAGGUUCCCUCAACCUGGACGGCAAUCAGGUGGCGAGUGUAAAUGCACAAGGGAGCUUGACUGCGAGACUUACAAGUCAAGCAGGGACGAAAGUCGGGAUUAGUGAUCCGGCACCCCCGAGUGGAAGGGGUGUCGCUCAACGGAUAAAAGGUACCCCGGGGAUAACAGGCUGAUCUUCCCCAAGAGUCCAUAUCGACGGGAUGGUUUGGCACCUCGAUGUCGGCUCGUCGCAUCCUGGGGCUGGAGCAGGUCCCAAGGGUUGGGCUGUUCGCCCAUUAAAGCGGCACGCGAGCUGGGUUUAGAACGUCGUGAGACAGUUCGGUCUCUAUCCGCCGCGCGCGUCAGAAACUUGAGGAAACCUGUCCCUAGUACGAGAGGACCGGGACGGACGAACCUCUGGUGCACCAGUUGUCCCGCCAGGGGCACCGCUGGAUAGCCACGUUCGGUCAGGAUAACCGCUGAAAGCAUCUAAGCGGGAAACCUUCUCCAAGAUCAGGUUUCUCACCCACUUGGUGGGAUAAGGCCCCCCGCAGAACACGGGUUCAAUAGGUCAGACCUGGAAGCUCAGUAAUGGGUGUAGGGAACUGGUGCUAACCGGCCGAAAACUUACAACA